Molecule: long non-coding RNA, 228 nt
Filed under: Gossypium barbadense (sea-island cotton)
Lineage: Eukaryota; Viridiplantae; Streptophyta; Magnoliopsida; Malvales; Malvaceae
Description: long non-coding RNA (GBAR_LNC020950)
Source: RNAcentral
AAAACCUACAGCUAAGAAUCAAUAAAAAUUGCUGAAAACAGAAAACCCGAAAAACUGCAGAGUAACUCGACAACUUCGUUCGAGGUGUUCCCGAUCUCCAAAAAUCACGAAAUUAAAUCUGGAGUCUCCUUAUAUAUUUAAUUUUUGAUCUGGAAAUUUUGGGCACCAAAUUCAACCCGCUGAAUCUUUUUUUAAAUUUUUAUUGAAUUUUGUAUUUUUUGUUUUUUU